GCAAGUCGAACGGAAAUACUGAUUAGUUUACUAAGAUGUAUUUUAGUGGCGGACGGGUUAGUAACACGUGAGUUACCUGCCUCAAAGUGGGGGAUAGCCUUCCGAAAGGGAGAUUAAUACCGCAUAAGGCCCCCUGUUAAAAGGGUGGUUAAAGUUGGCUUCGGCUGACGCUUUGAGAUGGGCUCGCGACCUAUCAGCUUGUUGGUGAGGUAAUGGCUCACCAAGGCUACGACGGGUAGUUGGUCUGAGAGGGUGGUC
This 258-nucleotide ribosomal RNA is filed under the name uncultured bacterium. RNAcentral's name for it is "partial 16S ribosomal RNA". It matches the Rfam family "Bacterial small subunit ribosomal RNA", at positions 57 to 305 of the family's 1533-position model. The record is from RNAcentral.